GACGAACGCUGGCGGCGUGCCUAAUACAUGCAAGUAGAACGCUGAAGCGAGGAGCUUGCUCUUCUUGGAUGAGUUGCGAACGGGUGAGUAACGCGUAGGUAACCUGCCUUGUAGCGGGGGAUAACUAUUGGAAACGAUAGCUAAUACCGCAUAACAAUGGAUGACACAUGUCAUUUAUUUGAAAGGGGCAAUUGCUCCACUACAAGAUGGACCUGCGUUGUAUUAGCUAGUAGGUGAGGUAAUGGCUCACCUAGGCGACGAUACAUAGCCGACCUGAGAGGGUGAUAGGCAAAACUGGGACUGAGACACGGCCCAGACUCCUACGGGAGGCAGCAGUAGGGAAUCUUCGGCGAUGGGGGCAACCCUGACCGAGCAACGCCGCGUGAGUGAAGAAGGUUGUCGGAUCGUAAAGCUCUGUUGUAAGUCAAGAACGGGUGUGAGAGUGGAAAGUUCACACUGUGACGGUAGCUUAACAGAAAGGGACGGCUAACUACGUG
This 497-nucleotide ribosomal RNA is filed under the name uncultured bacterium. Its description in RNAcentral is "partial 16S ribosomal RNA". It matches the Rfam family "Bacterial small subunit ribosomal RNA", at positions 28 to 507 of the family's 1533-position model. The record is from RNAcentral.